This 58-nucleotide transfer RNA is filed under the name Phthiridium szechuanum. Its description in RNAcentral is "tRNA-Arg". Lineage: Eukaryota; Metazoa; Arthropoda; Insecta; Diptera; Nycteribiidae. The record is from RNAcentral.
AAAUAUGAAGUAUUAUACACUUAGUUUCGACCUAAUUUUUGGUAAUUUUUACCCAUAU